This 465-nucleotide ribosomal RNA is filed under the name uncultured bacterium. RNAcentral describes it as "partial 16S ribosomal RNA". It matches the Rfam family "Bacterial small subunit ribosomal RNA", at positions 28 to 507 of the family's 1533-position model. The record is from RNAcentral.
GACGAACGCUGGCGGCGUGCUUAACACAUGCAAGUCGAACGGAAAGGCCCCUUCGGGGGUACUCGAGUGGCGAACGGGUGAGUAACACGUGAGUAACCUGCCCUUGACUUCGGGAUAACUUCAGGAAACUGGGGCUAAUACCGGAUAGGAAUCCUUGCUGCAUGGUGGGGGUUGGAAAGCUUCGGCGGUUUUGGAUGGACUCGCGGCGUAUCAGCUUGGUGGUGGGGUAGUGGCUUACCAAGGCUUUGACGGGUAGCCGGCCUGAGAGGGCGACCGGCCACAUUGGGACUGGGAUACGGCCCGGACUCCUACGGGAGGCAGCAGUGGGGAAUAUUGCACAAUGGGCGGAAGCCUGAUGCAGCAACGCCGCGUGCGGGAGGACGGCCUUCGGGUUGUAAACCGCUUUCAGCAGGGGCGAAGCUUGUGGUGACGGUACCUGCAGAAGAAGCACCGGCUAACUACGUG